RNAcentral lists this ribosomal RNA (496 nucleotides) under uncultured bacterium. RNAcentral's name for it is "partial 16S ribosomal RNA". It matches the Rfam family "Bacterial small subunit ribosomal RNA", at positions 29 to 507 of the family's 1533-position model. The record is from RNAcentral.
AUGAACGCUGGCGGCGUGCCUAAUACAUGCAAGUCGAGCGAACAGACGAGGAGCUUGCUCCUCUGACGUUAGCGGCGGACGGGUGAGUAACACGUGGAUAACCUACCUAUAAGACUGGGAUAACUUCGGGAAACCGGAGCUAAUACCGGAUAAUAUAUUGAACCGCAUGGUUCAAUAGUGAAAGACGGUUUUGCUGUCACUUAUAGAUGGAUCCGCGCCGCAUUAGCUAGUUGGUAAGGUAACGGCUUACCAAGGCAACGAUGCGUAGCCGACCUGAGAGGCUGAUCGACCACACUGGAACUGAGACACGGUCCAGACUCCUACGGGAGGCAGCAGUAGGGAAUCUUCCGCAAUGGGCGAAAGCCUGACGGAGCAACGCCGCGUGAGUGAUGAAGGUCUUCGGAUCGUAAAACUCUGUUAUUAGGGAAGAACAAAUGUGUAAGUAACUAUGCACGUCUUGACGGUACCUAAUCAGAAAGCCACGGCUAACUACGUG